AUCCAGUUGACGAGUCCUAAACAGGAUGAAACGCGCCUCCUGAAU
Molecule: non-coding RNA, 45 nt
Organism: Schistosoma margrebowiei
Lineage: Eukaryota; Metazoa; Platyhelminthes; Trematoda; Strigeidida; Schistosomatidae
Source: Rfam